This 250-nucleotide ribosomal RNA is filed under the name uncultured bacterium. Its description in RNAcentral is "partial 16S ribosomal RNA". It matches the Rfam family "Bacterial small subunit ribosomal RNA", at positions 524 to 773 of the family's 1533-position model. The record is from RNAcentral.
UACGUAGGAGGCAAGCGUUGUCCGGAGUUACUGGGCGUAAAGCGCGCGCAGGCGGUCACGUGCAUCUGGCGGGACAGGGCCCGGCUUAACCGGGUCAGGCCGACAGAGAUGGCGUGACUUGAGGGCUUCAGAGGGAUGGGGAAUUCCGGGUGGAGUGGUGAAAUGCGUAGAGAUCCGGAAGAACACCAAAGGCGAAGGCACCAUCCUGGGAAGUCACUGACGCUCAGGUGCGAAAGCCAGGGGAGCGAAC